GAUCCUGGCUCAGGAUGAACGCUAGCUACAGGCUUAGCACAUGCAAGUCGCGGGGUAACAUCUGGUAGAGCUUGCUCUUCCAGGAUGACGACCGGCGCACGGGUGAGUAACGCGUAUCCAACCUGGCCCAUACCACGGGAUAGCCCGUCGAAAGGCGGAUUAAUACCGUAUGCUGUCAUUAAGAGGCAUUUUUUGAUGACGAAAGGACUGGCGGUAUGGGAUGGGGAUGCGUCUGAUUAGCUUGUUGGCGGGUAACGGCCCACCAAGGCGACGAUCAGUAGGGGUUCUGAGAGGAAGGUCCCCCACAUUGGAACUGAGACACGGUCCAAACUCCUACGGGAGGCAGCAGUGAGGAAUAUUGGUCAAUGGGCGCAAGCCUGAACCAGCCAAGUAGCGUGAGGGAAGACUGCCCUACGGGUUGUAAACCUCUUUUGUUUGGGAAUAAAGUGCGGGACGUGUCCCGCAUUGCAUGUACCAUUUGAAUAAGGACCGGCUAAUUCCGUG
Molecule: ribosomal RNA, 504 nt
Filed under: uncultured bacterium
Lineage: Bacteria
Description: bacterial SSU rRNA
Rfam family: Bacterial small subunit ribosomal RNA
Source: RNAcentral